Non-coding RNA from Benincasa hispida (wax gourd), 1120 nucleotides. Lineage: Eukaryota; Viridiplantae; Streptophyta; Magnoliopsida; Cucurbitales; Cucurbitaceae. The record is from RefSeq and is a predicted model, not a curated record.
ACCAGCUUGAGAAUGAGACCGAUUUAUACCGAUUCCCUCGAGCAAACCCUAAUUUUCUUUGAUGAAAUUGUAGAGGGACGUGAGGAAGAGAAUUUCGAGGGUUAUCGGAGUGAUUGGAGCUGUGGAGGUUGAGGAAUUUGAAUGAAAAGUCGGGUUAAGUCUGAAUUUCGGACAGUCUGAACAGGCUUUAGUGUUUUAAAGUUCUUGAGCUGUAGAAACCAAAUUUGAAGCUGAAAUUUUGAGGUUACUAAGUUAAGAGGUUUAUUAACAUUUUUCUUGAAGGACGUUAGAGCUAAUUUUGACUGAAAAUUGGUGAAUUAAUAGGAAAACCGAGACUACACAGAAUUUCGGGCGAACAGAGAAACGUGACUUUUGGAGCUGAUUCGGUGUUAUUCAAGCGUUGUCAAAGCUUCAAAUUCUCAGGAUAGUUGGUUAAUAUGCUUAUUGGAAAGUUUAAGCAAGAUAUUUUAGGUUAUAUGGUUAGGGAUUGAUGAAUUUCAAGCUGGGAAAAAGUUCUGAAACUUCUCGCCGGAAAACAGGGGUAUCAAGAAAUAUUUGACCGAUUCCAGAAGAUUUAGGGCGAUUCAAGACUCCAAAAUGUGAGGUAAGAUAGUUUAGAGGAUGGGUAAGAGGUUUAUAUGAAUUAAUUCGAGUGGGUAUGGCUUAAAUGAGCGAAUUUGGUCGCCGGAAGUAUCACCGAAAAACUGGCCGAAUUUGGAAGAAAAUGUGGGCUGGAGGUUGAAGAUGACUUCUGUCCGUCAUUAAAAGCUGAAAAAUCCAAAUUUAUGGCCAAGUUCAAUUAGGAGAGGCUUAUAAAUCCGAAGGAUCGAGCCUGAAAUUGUAGUGGUCAUCUCCCCAGAGGUUAGCUGUCAUGCUGCUCUGCCACUCAAGGACUUCAGUUAAAAGUCCAAAGUCUAAAGAGAAGUUUUAGGUGUCUAUUUUGUAAAUGUAUGUACAUAUGUGUUGCUCAUAUUAGGGACUAGUAAAGUAUAUUGGGACCCGUUGAACUCUGUAUGUGUUAAUAUCAUGUAGUUAUGUUGUUGUUGAUCCCUGGUGUUCUGAGGUUAUUUUUAAAGUUCCAUUAGUUUGUUGAAUGUUAUAUAUGUAUUUCAGGGAUCUA